Molecule: ribosomal RNA, 467 nt
Filed under: uncultured Acidovorax sp.
Lineage: Bacteria; Pseudomonadati; Pseudomonadota; Betaproteobacteria; Burkholderiales; Comamonadaceae
Description: bacterial SSU rRNA
Rfam family: Bacterial small subunit ribosomal RNA
Source: RNAcentral
UGACGGGACCGCACAAGCGGUGGAUGAUGCGGUUAAUUCGAUGCAACGCGAAAACCUUACCCACCUUUGACAUGUACGGAACCCUUUAGAGAUAGAGGAGUGCUCGAAAGAGAGCCGUAACACAGGUGCUGCAUGGCUGUCGUCAGCUCGUGUCGUGAGAUGUUGGGUUAAGUCCCGCAACGAGCGCAACCCUUGUCAUUAGUUGCUACAUUCAGUUGGGCACUCUAAUGAGACUGCCGGUGACAAACCGGAGGAAGGUGGGGAUGACGUCAAGUCCUCAUGGCCCUUAUAGGUGGGGCUACACACGUCAUACAAUGGAUGGUACAAAGGGUCGCCAACCCGCGAGGGGGAGCCAAUCCCAUAAAGCCAUUCGUAGUCCGGAUCGCAGUCCGCAACUCGACUGCGUGAAGUCGGAAUCGCUAGUAAUCGUGGAUCAGCAUGUCGCGGUGAAUACGUUCCCGGGUCUU